CCCUUAGAUGUCCUGGGCCGCACGCGCGCUACACUGACAUGUUCAACAAGUUUCUCCUAGUUCGACAGGACUGGGAAAUCUUUGAACGCAUGUCGUGAUGGGGAUAGAUCAUUGCAAUUAUUGAUCUUGAACGAGGAAUUCCUAGUAAACGCGAGUCAUCAGCUCGCAUUGAUUACGUCCCUGCCCUUUGUACACACCGCCCGUCGCACCUACCGAUUGAAUGUUUCGGUGAAGAUUCCGGAUAGGACUGAUUUGAUUUAUUUCAUUUCUGACCUAAAAGCUAUCUAAACCUCAACAUUUAGAGGAAGGUGAAGUCGUAACA
Molecule: ribosomal RNA, 322 nt
Filed under: uncultured eukaryote
Lineage: Eukaryota
Description: partial 18S ribosomal RNA
Rfam family: Eukaryotic small subunit ribosomal RNA
Source: RNAcentral